AGGUUAUGAUGUUCAAACUCACGAUGGUCUGCAGAGUCCCCCGGCUGAGGGGCUGCUGACAAUGCCUCUGGCAUCCACUGAACCAGGGCA
This is a small nucleolar RNA of Camarhynchus parvulus, 90 nucleotides long. Lineage: Eukaryota; Metazoa; Chordata; Aves; Passeriformes; Thraupidae. The record is from Ensembl.